Molecule: small nucleolar RNA, 127 nt
Organism: Cricetulus griseus (Chinese hamster)
Lineage: Eukaryota; Metazoa; Chordata; Mammalia; Rodentia; Cricetidae
Product: small nucleolar RNA SNORA77
Source: Ensembl
GCAGAUUCACUCUGCACCUGACUCUAGCUCGGUCUCAUGCCUUUUCUGUCUGCUAGAGAAACAGAAACAGAGGGUGCUGUGGCUACCUCUGCCUAUCAGGGCAGUGCAGCUUCCUGGGGACACAGUG